GUUGAGAUGGCAGAGCCCGGUAAUUGCAAAAGACCUAAGCCCUUUCACCCAGAGGUUCAACUCCUCUUCUUAAC
This 74-nucleotide transfer RNA is filed under the name Echinotriton andersoni (Ryukyu spiny newt). RNAcentral describes it as "tRNA-Leu". It matches the Rfam family "tRNA". Rfam says of the family: Transfer RNA (tRNA) molecules are approximately 80 nucleotides in length. Their secondary structure includes four short double-helical elements and three loops (D, anti-codon, and T loops). Further hydrogen bonds mediate the characteristic L-shaped molecular structure. tRNAs have two regions of fundamental functional importance: the anti-codon, which is responsible for specific mRNA codon recognition, and the 3' end, to which the tRNAs corresponding amino acid is attached (by aminoacyl-tRNA synthetases). tRNAs cope with the degeneracy of the genetic code in two manners: having more than one tRNA (with a specific anti-codon) for a particular amino acid; and 'wobble' base-pairing, i.e. permitting non-standard base-pairing at the 3rd anti-codon position. The record is from RNAcentral. Lineage: Eukaryota; Metazoa; Chordata; Amphibia; Caudata; Salamandridae.